GCAGGAACUGGAACAUUUCCAGAACAAGUCAUGCCACUCCCAACCCAGGGGUUCAGCUGUUAAUCUGAAGGAGAAUAUUUCCUGGCAAUAAGGAGGAGUCAUGAAGAGGCUAGUGGGCCCUGUGCUGGGGCUUCUGUUGGCCCAGGUUUGCUGUGUGAGAGGAGUGGAUGUGAUGCAGAGCCCCCCAGCCCUGAGUGUCCAGGAGGGAGCCAGCCCCACGCUCUGGUGCAAUUUUUCCAUGAAUGUGAACAGUGUGCAGUGGCAUCUUCAGUACCGAGGUGGCAGCCUGGUCCACUUAUUCUUCAUUCCUUCGGGGACCAAGCGGAAUGGAAGAUUAAACGCCACGACAGUCGCUACAGAACGCCGCAGCUCGCUGUACAUUUCCUCUGCCCAGAUCACAGACUCAGCCACGUACUUCUGUGCUGGGGAGCACAGCGCUCCACAGGCACCUGCAGCCUGUACAGGAACCCUCCGCAGGGCUCAGCCCCUCCUCCAGCCACAGUCACACCACGGGGCCACUACAGGGCAUUCACAUUGCUCAUUAUUCCUCACCUACACUGGUACAGUUUUAGCCACUGACACUUAGCCCUAGGGAUUUGGGACUUUGGUCUUUUACUUCCUUCUCAAACUGAAUCUCCUUCUGCUCUAGAAACUUCUAACUUGGAACUAGCAGAGUAGCUGGAAAGAGAACAGAACGAAAGUGAAUAUUUAACCACAAUAUGCUGGACUCCAAAAUGGUAAAAAGUGAAAGAGAAAAGAA
Phacochoerus africanus (Common warthog) is the source of this 760-nucleotide non-coding RNA. NCBI's taxonomy places the organism in Eukaryota, Metazoa, Chordata, Mammalia, Artiodactyla, Suidae. The record is from the annotation of a RefSeq genome assembly.